Molecule: ribosomal RNA, 433 nt
Filed under: uncultured bacterium
Lineage: Bacteria
Description: partial 16S ribosomal RNA
Rfam family: Bacterial small subunit ribosomal RNA
Source: RNAcentral
AACGAACGCUGGCGGCAGGCCUAACACAUGCAAGUCGAGCGAGCAUUUCGGUGCUAGCGGCGGACGGGUGAGUAACGCGUGGGAACGUGCCCUUUUCUGCGGAAUAGUCCUGGGAAACUGGGGGUAAUACCGCAUACGCCCUUUUGGGGAAAGAUUUAUCGGAGAAGGAUCGGCCCGCGUUGGAUUAGGUAGUUGGUUGGGUAAUGGCACACCAAGCCGACGAUCCAUAGCUGGUUUGAGAGGAUGAUCAGCCACACUGGGACUGAGACACGGCCCAGACUCCUACGGGAGGCAGCAGUGGGGAAUCUUAGACAAUGGGGGCAACCCUGAUCGAGCCAUGCCGCGUGAGUGAUGAAGGCCUUAGGGUUGUAAAGCUCUUUCAGCUGGGAAGAUAAUGACGGUACCAGCAGAAGAAGCCCCGGCUAACUCCGUG